AACGCUGGCGGCGUGCCUAAUACAUGCAAGUCGAACGGUCUUUUCUAUGGAAGCUUGCUUCCGACUGGGAAGAUAGUGGCGGACGGGUGAGUAACACGUGGGUAACCUGCCCAUAAGAGGGGGAUAACAUCCGGAAACGGGUGCUAAUACCGCAUAGUUUUCUUGAUCGCAUGAUUGAGAAAGGAAAGACGGCCUUUGUGCUGUCGCUUAUGGAUGGACCCGCGGCGUAUUAGUUAGUUGGUGAGGUAACGGCUCACCAAGACGAUGAUACGUAGCCGACCUGAGAGGGUGAUCGGCCACAUUGGGACUGAGACACGGCCCAAACUCCUACGGGAGGCAGCAGUAGGGAAUCUUCCGCAAUGGACGAAAGUCUGACGGAGCAACGCCGCGUGAGUGAAAGAAGGUUUUCGGAUCGUAAAACUCUGUUGUCAGAGAAGAACAAGUCGGAGAGUAACUGCUCCGGCCUUGACGGUAUCUGACCAGAAAGCCACGGCUAACUACGUGCCAGCCGCCGC
Molecule: ribosomal RNA, 515 nt
Filed under: uncultured bacterium
Lineage: Bacteria
Description: bacterial SSU rRNA
Rfam family: Bacterial small subunit ribosomal RNA
Source: RNAcentral